Molecule: ribosomal RNA, 185 nt
Filed under: uncultured bacterium
Lineage: Bacteria
Description: partial 16S ribosomal RNA
Rfam family: Bacterial small subunit ribosomal RNA
Source: RNAcentral
CCUGCAUGAAGUUGGAAUUGCUAGUAAUCGCGGAUCAGCAUGCCGCGGUGAAUACGUUCCCGGGGAUUGUACACACCGCCCGUCACACCAUGAGAGUCGGGAACACCCAAAGUCCGUAGUCUAACCGCAAGGAGGACGCGGCCUAAGGUGGGUUCGAUAAUUGGGUGAAGUCGUAACAAGGUAAC